Molecule: ribosomal RNA, 220 nt
Filed under: Acinetobacter sp. 4AS76
Lineage: Bacteria; Pseudomonadati; Pseudomonadota; Gammaproteobacteria; Moraxellales; Moraxellaceae
Description: partial 16S rRNA
Rfam family: Bacterial small subunit ribosomal RNA
Source: RNAcentral
CGGACGGGUGAGUAAUGUUUAGGAAUCUGCCUAUUAGUGGGGGACAACAUUUGGAAAGGGAUGCUAAUACCGCAUACGCCCUAAGGGGGAAAGCAGGGGAUCUUCGGACCUUGCGCUAAUAGAUGAGCCUAAGUCGGAUUAGCUAGUUGGUGGGGUAAAGGCCUACCAAGGCGACGAUCUGUAGCGGGUCUGAGAGGAUGAUCCGCCACACUGGGACUGA